This 465-nucleotide ribosomal RNA is filed under the name uncultured bacterium. Its description in RNAcentral is "partial 16S ribosomal RNA". It matches the Rfam family "Bacterial small subunit ribosomal RNA", at positions 338 to 795 of the family's 1533-position model. The record is from RNAcentral.
CCUACGGGUGGCAGCAGUGGGGAAUAUUGCGCAAUGGGCGAAAGCCUGACGCAGCGAAGCCGCGUGAGGGAUGAAGGUCUUCGGAUCGUAAACCUCUGUCAGCAGGGAAGAACGGUCACUGUGCUAAUCAGCAGUGAAUUGACGGUACCUGCAAAGGAAGCACCGGCUAACUCCGUGCCAGCAGCUGCGGUAAUACGGAGGGUGCGAGCGUUAAUCGGAUUUACUGGGCGUAAAGCGCUCGUAGGCGGUAUGUCAAGUCAAGGGUGAAAUAGCCGCGCUCAACGUGGGAAGUGCCUUUGAAACUGGCAGACUUGAGUGUGUGAGAGGUUAGUGGAAUUCCCGGUGUAGGGGUGAAAUGCUUAGAUAGCUGGAGGAACAUCAGUGGCGAAGGCGACUAUCUGGCACAUAACUGACGCUGAGGAGCGAAAGCGUGGGUAGCAAACAGGAUUAGAUACCCGGGUAGUC